AUGUCUGAAACCGGGACAAAUGGGUCGUUUUCUAAAAGUGUCUGCAUUAAGGCAAAUGACCACACGGACUGAUCUCGACUACAUCAAGCCGAACUACACCGGGCCGAACCACGACAUUAAGCUGUACGACCAUAACAAACUACAAGUCAAGAUCAUCGCCGAGCACACUACGAGAAGCAAUAUCGACAUGCAUUGCCCACACACCAAGACGGUGUGGAACGGGAUGCAACCUUCAUCGACUUCUCGGGCGCGACACCACAUCGACACUUGGUUGCGGCGAGGGACGUCUUCAAGCGACACAUUAUCGUUGACACGCCGCUGCGACGCCAUCGCCUACACUUCAUCACUAAGGUCUUCAUCAACGUGGUCUUCACCAACAUCUUCGUCAACACACCGCCGCUGUCUUGUCCACAAGAUGGGCACCUAGCAUCCUCUGACAGACUUUUCUGCAAGACGCGACCAUGACGACGGCAAUGACCGCGUCACGAUGUCGGCAUCAACCGCGUCAUCCACGACAACACAACUGCAUCGACAGGGCGUCACUACAGUGACGACCGUACACGACCACACGGUUCUGGCAAAACCGAUAUGUGCUCGAUGGGCUUCCUCCGGUCUUCGCAAAAUCGGCGGACUCGUCGCCGACGGCACCCUCUGAUAUCUGCAAGGUGCAUCAUCCACGAUCCGCGUCGUCAGCAGCGUUCACGCCACUCCCGCUGUGACUGCGGGAGGGAAGAGGGGAGAGACAAGGAAGACACCAGAAGGGGACGCAGUCACCGCCCUACGUGCUGACCCAUCAGAAACGUAGUUGACGAUGGCGCAGCGAAGAAGACGACAAAAGCAGAAGACUUCAAAUUCAGUCGUACUCGUCCGCUUCACUCCCGCUACGACUUGAGGCGGAAUGUUAGAAUAUAAAUAUGCUUAGUUAGAGAUAAGGCGAGAGAUGGAGAUAGAAUAAGUUUUAAUAUACUAUGACUUGUCUUGUACUUCAAGUCACCACACGUUGUACUCUAUAUAUACCCCUACAAGGGUCAGAUCAAUAAUACAACACAAUAUCCAUUCAUCCUA
Molecule: long non-coding RNA, 1065 nt
Organism: Triticum dicoccoides
Lineage: Eukaryota; Viridiplantae; Streptophyta; Magnoliopsida; Poales; Poaceae
Exons: 2
Source: RefSeq, a predicted model, not a curated record